This 463-nucleotide ribosomal RNA is filed under the name uncultured bacterium. RNAcentral describes it as "partial 16S ribosomal RNA". It matches the Rfam family "Bacterial small subunit ribosomal RNA", at positions 28 to 505 of the family's 1533-position model. The record is from RNAcentral.
GAUGAGCGCUGGCGGCGUGCUUAACACAUGCAAGUCGAACGGAAAGGCUCCUGCUUGCAGGGGUACUCGAGUGGCGAACGGGUGAGUAACACGUGGGUGAUCUGCCCUGCACUUCGGGAUAAGCCUGGGAAACUGGGUCUAAUACCGGAUAGGACCACAUUUUGGAUGGUGUGGUGGAAAGUUUUUCGGUGUGGGAUGAGCUCGCGGCCUAUCAGCUUGUUGGUGGGGUAAUGGCCUACCAAGGCGUCGACGGGUAGCCGGCCUGAGAGGGUGUACGGCCACAUUGGGACUGAGAUACGGCCCAGACUCCUACGGGAGGCAGCAGUGGGGAAUAUUGCACAAUGGGCGCAAGCCUGAUGCAGCGACGCCGCGUGGGGGAUGACGGCCUUCGGGUUGUAAACUCCUUUCGCUAGGGACGAAGCGCAAGUGACGGUACCUGGAGAAGAAGCACCGGCUAACUACG